RNAcentral lists this ribosomal RNA (774 nucleotides) under uncultured Neocallimastigales. RNAcentral describes it as "partial large subunit ribosomal RNA". It matches the Rfam family "Eukaryotic large subunit ribosomal RNA", at positions 24 to 643 of the family's 3401-position model. Lineage: Eukaryota; Fungi; Neocallimastigomycota; Neocallimastigomycetes; Neocallimastigales. The record is from RNAcentral.
UAUCUCUGUAGAGUCUGCAUAUCAAUAAGCGGAGGAAAAGAAACUAACAAGGAUUCCCUUAGUAACGGCGAGUGAAGCGGGAAGAGCUCAAAUUUGAAAUCUUCAAGGUUCUACCUUGACGAAUUGUAGUUUAAAGAAGUGUUUUCUGUUAGAUGAGUAGCAAAAGUUCCUUGGAAUGGGACAUCAUAGAGGGUGAGAAUCCCGUAUUUGGUUAUUCAUUCUAGCUUUGUGAUACACUUUCAAAGAGUCGGAUUGUUUGGGAAUGCAGUCCAAAAUGGGUGGUAAAUUUCAUCUAAAGCUAAAUAUUGGCGAGAGACCGAUAGCGAACAAGUACCGUGAGGGAAAGAUGAAAAGAACUUUGAAAAGAGAGUUAAACAGUACGUGAAAUUGUCAAAAGGGAAGCGUUUGACACCAGUGUUGUUUUUCCGAAAAUCAAUUACGAAUGGCUUGAUUUUGUGUUGUAUUGACCUUAUCAGCUUUCUGCACUUUUUUCGAGUCUUUCUUAAUGCACUUUUUGGUUAACAAGUCAACAUCAAUUUCUUUUGUUGUAAAAGAGUAUUCGGAAGGUGGCUUUCUUUUCGGAGAAAGUGUUUGAUAGCCCUAUACUUCUACAAUCGGAGAGAUUGAGGUCUGCAGCGUAGAUCCUUCGGGGUUAGAUACACUUGUGCUAAGUUGUAGCUUUUCAUAGACAACUUGUUGACUAUGUUUAGUCAUGCGGCUUACUCGCUUAUGCUACUUUACCUACGCUUAGGAUGUUGACUGAUAUGUAGUCGU